AUUGAACGCUGGCGGCAGGCCUAACACAUGCAAGUCGAGCGGAAGAAGACUUCGGUCUUCGAGAGCGGCGGACGGGUGAGUAACGCGUGGGAAUCUGGCUCUUAGAGGGGGACAACUUGUGGAAACGCAAGCUAAUACCGCAUACGCCCUAAGGGGGAAAGCAGGGGAUCUUCGGACCUUGCGCUAAGAGGUGAGCCCGCGUCGGAUUAGCUAGUUGGUGGGGUAAAGGCCUACCAAGGCGACGAUCCGUAACUGGUCUGAGAGGAUGAUCAGUCACACUGGAACUGAGACACGGUCCAGACUCUUACGGGAGGCAGCAGUGGGGAAUAUUGGACAAUGGGGGCAACCCUGAUCCAGCCAUGCCGCGUGUGUGAAGAAGGCCUUCGGGUUGUAAAGCACUUUAAGUUGGGAGGAAAGGGUUGUGGCUAAUAUCCAUAAUCUAUGACGUUACCAACAGAAUAAGCACCGGCUAACUCCGUGCCAGCCGCCGCGGUAA
This 496-nucleotide ribosomal RNA is filed under the name uncultured bacterium. Its description in RNAcentral is "partial 16S ribosomal RNA". It matches the Rfam family "Bacterial small subunit ribosomal RNA", at positions 30 to 523 of the family's 1533-position model. The record is from RNAcentral.